AGUGAACGCUGGCGGCGUGCUUAACACAUGCAAGUCGAACGGACUUAAGGGGCUUGCUUCUUAAGUUAGUGGCGCACGGGUGAGUAAUAUAUAGCUAACCUGCCCUUUAGUGGGGGACAACAGUUGGAAACGGCUGCUAAUACCCCAUACUCCUUCUUAUCAUAAGGUAAGUUGGGAAAGAUUUAUCGCUAAAGGAUGGGGCUUUAUUGUAUCAGCUAGUUGGUGGGGUAACGGCCUACCAAGGCUAUGACGCAUACAUGGUCUGAGAGGAUGAUCAGGCACACUGGAACUGAGACACGGUCCAGACUCCUACGGGAGGCAGCAGUGGGGAAUAUUGCACAAUGGAGGAAACUCUGAUGCAGCAACGCCGCGUGGAGGAUGACGCAUUUCGGUGUGUAAACUCCUUUUAUAGGGGAAGAUAAUGACGGUACCCUAUGAAUAAGCACCGGCUAACUCCGUGCCAGCAGCCGCCGUAA
RNAcentral lists this ribosomal RNA (476 nucleotides) under uncultured bacterium. RNAcentral's name for it is "partial 16S ribosomal RNA". It matches the Rfam family "Bacterial small subunit ribosomal RNA", at positions 29 to 523 of the family's 1533-position model. The record is from RNAcentral.